This 329-nucleotide unclassified non-coding RNA is filed under the name soil metagenome. RNAcentral's name for it is "partial contains 5.8S ribosomal RNA, internal transcribed spacer 2, and large subunit ribosomal RNA". The stretch from base 1 to 119 matches the Rfam family "5.8S ribosomal RNA", at positions 35 to 154 of the family's 154-position model. The record is from RNAcentral.
GAUGAAGAACGUAGCGAAAUGCGAUAAGUAAUGCGAAUUGCAGAAUCCGUGAGUCAUCGAAUCUUUGAACGCACAUUGCGCCCUUUGGUAUUCCUUAGGGCAUGCCUGUUCGAGCGUCAUUUAAACCUUCAAGCUAAGCUUGGUGUUGGGUGACUGUCCGCUUCACGGCGGACUCGCCUCAAAAUUAUUGGCGGCCGGUACAUUGGCUUCGAGCGCAGCAGAAACGCGAACUCGGGCCCGUCGUAUUGGCUCCCAGAAGCUAUCUUCACAAUUUUGACCUCGGAUCAGGUAGGGAUACCCGCUGAACUUAAGCAUAUCAAUGCGGAGGA